Small nucleolar RNA from Capsicum annuum, 106 nucleotides. NCBI's taxonomy places the organism in Eukaryota, Viridiplantae, Streptophyta, Magnoliopsida, Solanales, Solanaceae. The record is from RefSeq and is a predicted model, not a curated record.
ACCUCAUGAUUUGGGAAGUGCAUGAACUUAUCAUUGAAAUGUUACCAAACUUCAUAUAAUGGUUUGCCAUUGAGUUGGAAAAAGUUAGUGAUAUCAUCUUUUAGUU